Molecule: ribosomal RNA, 1433 nt
Filed under: Escherichia coli
Lineage: Bacteria; Pseudomonadati; Pseudomonadota; Gammaproteobacteria; Enterobacterales; Enterobacteriaceae
Description: partial 23S ribosomal RNA
Rfam family: Bacterial large subunit ribosomal RNA
Source: RNAcentral
GAAUGCUGACAUAAGUAACGAUAAAGCGGGUGAAAAGCCCGCUCGCCGGAAGACCAAGGGUUCCUGUCCAACGUUAAUCGGGGCAGGGUGAGUCGACCCCUAAGGCGAGGCCGAAAGGCGUAGUCGAUGGGAAACAGGUUAAUAUUCCUGUACUUGGUGUUACUGCGAAGGGGGGACGGAGAAGGCUAUGUUGGCCGGGCGACGGUUGUCCCGGUUUAAGCGUGUAGGCUGGUUUUCCAGGCAAAUCCGGAAAAUCAAGGCUGAGGCGUGAUGACGAGGCACUACGGUGCUGAAGCGACAAAUGCCCUGCUUCCAGGAAAAGCCUCUAAGCAUCAGGUAACAUCAAAUCGUACCCCAAACCGACACAGGUGGUCAGGUAGAGAAUACCAAGGCGCUUGAGAGAACUCGGGUGAAGGAACUAGGCAAAAUGGUGCCGUAACUUCGGGAGAAGGCACGCUGAUAUGUAGGUGAAGCGACUUGCUCGUGGAGCUGAAAUCAGUCGAAGAUACCAGCUGGCUGCAACUGUUUAUUAAAAACACAGCACUGUGCAAACACGAAAGUGGACGUAUACGGUGUGACGCCUGCCCGGUGCCGGAAGGUUAAUUGAUGGGGUUAGCGGUAACGCGAAGCUCUUGAUCGAAGCCCCGGUAAACGGCGGCCGUAACUAUAACGGUCCUAAGGUAGCGAAAUUCCUUGUCGGGUAAGUUCCGACCUGCACGAAUGGCGUAAUGAUGGCCAGGCUGUCUCCACCCGAGACUCAGUGAAAUUGAACUCGCUGUGAAGAUGCAGUGUACCCGCGGCAAGACGGAAAGACCCCGUGAACCUUUACUAUAGCUUGACACUGAACAUUGAGCCUUGAUGUGUAGGAUAGGUGGGAGGCUUUGAAGUGUGGACGCCAGUCUGCAUGGAGCCGACCUUGAAAUACCACCCUUUAAUGUUUGAUGUUCUAACGUGGGCCCCUUACCGGGGUUGCGGACAGUGUCUGGUGGGUAGUUUGACUGGGGCGGUCUCCUCCUAAAGAGUAACGGAGGAGCACGAAGGUUGGCUAAUCCUGGUCGGACAUCAGGAGGUUAGUGCAAUGGCAUAAGCCAGCUUGACUGCGAGCGUGACGGCGCGAGCAGGUGCGAAAGCAGGUCAUAGUGAUCCGGUGGUUCUGAAUGGAAGGGCCAUCGCUCAACGGAUAAAAGGUACUCCGGGGAUAACAGGCUGAUACCGCCCAAGAGUUCAUAUCGACGGCGGUGUUUGGCACCUCGAUGUCGGCUCAUCACAUCCUGGGGCUGAAGUAGGUCCCAAGGGUAUGGCUGUUCGCCAUUUAAAGUGGUACGCGAGCUGGGUUUAGAACGUCGUGAGACAGUUCGGUCCCUAUCUGCCGUGGGCGCUGGAGAACUGAGGGGGGCUGCUCCUAGUACGAGAGGACCGGAGUGGACGCAUCA